Molecule: long non-coding RNA, 1029 nt
Filed under: Homo sapiens (human)
Lineage: Eukaryota; Metazoa; Chordata; Mammalia; Primates; Hominidae
Description: long non-coding RNA NONHSAT183598.1
Source: RNAcentral
AAUCCGGCACCUCAAGGAUGAGAUGGCCCGCCAUCUGCGCGAGUACCAGGACCUGCUCAACGUGAAGAUGGCCCUGGAUGUGGAGAUUGCCACCUACCGGAAGCUGCUGGAGGGAGAGGAGAGCCGGAUCAAUCUCCCCAUCCAGACCUACUCUGCCCUCAACUUCCGAGGUGAGUCCCUGAGCAAAGGGGUUCUGAGGUCCAUACCAAGAAGACGGUGAUGAUCAAGACCAUCGAGACACGGGAUGGGGAGGUAAGUGGCCACACAGCAGCAGCAUGAAGUGCUCUAAAGACAGAGACCCUCUGCCACCAGAGACCGUCCUCACCCCUGUCCUCACUGCUCCCUGAAGCCAGCCUUCUUCCAUCCCAGGACACCACACCCAGCCUCAGUCCUCCCCUCACAGCCUCUGACCCCUCCUCACUGGCCAUCCCUCGUGGUCCCCAACAGCGACAUAGCCCAUCCCUGCCUGGUCACAGGGCAUGCCCCGGCCACCUCUGCGGACCCCAGCUGUGAGCCUUGGCUGUUGGCAGUGAGUGAGCCUGGCUCUUGUGCUGGAUGGAGCCCAGGCGGGAGCGGUGGCCCUGUCCCUCCCACCUCUGUGACCUCAGGCACUAGCCUUUGGCUCUGGAGACAGCCCCAGAGCAGGGUGUUGGGAUACUGCAGGGCCAGGACUGAGCCCCGCAGACCUCCCCAGCCCCUAGCCCAGGAGAGAGAAAGCCAGGCAGGUAGCCAGGGGGACUAGCCCCUGUGGAGACUGGGGGGCUUGAAAUUGUCCCCGUGGUCUCUUACUUUCCUUUCCCCAGCCCAGGGUGGACUUAGAAAGCAGGGGCUACAAGAGGGAAUCCCCGAAGGUGCUGGAGGUGGGAGCAGGAGAUUGAGAAGGAGAGAAAGUGGGUGAGAUGCUGGAGAAGAGAGGAGAGGAGAGAGGCAGAGAGCGGUCUCAGGCUGGUGGGAGGGGCGCCCACCUCCCCACGCCCUCCCCUCCCCUGCUGCAGGGGCUCUGGAGAGAAACAAUAAAGAGAUUCACAC